AACGAACGCUAUCGGCAUGCUUAACACAUGCAAGUCGGACGGACUAAUUAGGGCUUGCUCCAAUUAGUUAGUGGCAGACGGGUGAGUAACACGUGGGAAUCUGCCCAUCAGUACGGAAUAACUUUUAGAAAUAAAAGCUAAUACCGUAUAUUCUCUACAGAGGAAAGAUUUAUCGCUGAUGGAUGAGCCCGCGUCAGAUUAGGUAGUUGGUGAGGUAACGGCUCACCAAGCCGACGAUCUGUAGCUGGUCUGAGAGGAUGAUCAGCCACACUGGGACUGAGACACGGCCCAGACUCCUACGGGAGGCAGCAGUGGGGAAUAUUGGACAAUGGGCGAAAGCCUGAUCCAGCAAUACCGAGUGAGUGAUAAAGGCCCUAGGGUUGUAAAGCUCUUUUAGCAAGGAAGAUAAUGACGUUACUUGCAGAAAAAGCCCCGGCUAACUCCGUG
This 447-nucleotide ribosomal RNA is filed under the name uncultured bacterium. Its description in RNAcentral is "partial 16S ribosomal RNA". It matches the Rfam family "Bacterial small subunit ribosomal RNA", at positions 29 to 507 of the family's 1533-position model. The record is from RNAcentral.